This 503-nucleotide ribosomal RNA is filed under the name uncultured bacterium. RNAcentral's name for it is "partial 16S ribosomal RNA". It matches the Rfam family "Bacterial small subunit ribosomal RNA", at positions 30 to 523 of the family's 1533-position model. The record is from RNAcentral.
AUUGAACGCUGGCGGCAGGCUUAACACAUGCAAGUCGAGCGGGGUGAUGGUGCUUGCACUAUCACUUAGCGGCGGACGGGUGAGUAAUGCUUAGGAAUCUGCCUAUUAGUGGGGGACAACAUCUCGAAAGGGAUGCUACUACCGCAUACGUCCUACGGGAGAAAGCAGGGGACCACUUGUGACCUUGCGCUCAUGGAUGAGCCUAAGUCGGAUUAGCUAGUUGGUGGGGUAAAGGCCUAGCAAGGCGACGAUCUGUAGCGGGUCUGAGAGGAUGAUCCGCCACACUGGGACUGAGACACGGCCCAGACUCCUACGGGAGGCAGCAGUGGGGAAUAUUGGACAAUGGGGGGAACCCUGAUCCAGCCAUGCCGCGUGUGUGAAGAAGGCCUUAUGGUUGUAAAGCACUUUAAGCGAGGAGGAGGCUCUUUUGGUUAAUACCCAAGAUGAGUGGACGUUACUCGCAGAAUAAGCACCGGCUAACUCUGUGCCAGCAGCCGCGGUAA